This 394-nucleotide long non-coding RNA is filed under the name Dromaius novaehollandiae (emu). RNAcentral describes it as "lncRNA (ENSDNVG00000015077.1)". Lineage: Eukaryota; Metazoa; Chordata; Aves; Casuariiformes; Dromaiidae. The record is from RNAcentral.
GAGACGGGGAAGCUUCGGGGGGGAGUUCUCUCCUACCUGUCCUCCCCCGAGGGCGAGGGGUGCGAAGGAGCUCUCCUUCCUCCCCCCUGCGGCCGCUGGUGCUGCAGAGGGGAGCCCUGACACCCCCUUCCCCAGGGCCCGGCAGGCCGUGGGGCACAGACCCCCGCCAAGGGGCUGGGGGAGCCGGGAGCAGGGCUGUGUGGGCAGCCCCCGCGGUGAUGCCCGGGAGGAGGGUGCAAGGCGGAAAACGACCAUCUCUGUUGCAAGGGGUGCCAGCGCCACGUCCUCACGGCUGGAGAAGCCGCAGCACCGCCUGAAUCUCGCUGCCCGUUCGCCCGAGCUUGGAGGAAGGCUGGCUUUUGCGCCCCUCCAGGCCCCACAGCAGGACUAGCAU